AAAAAAAUAACAAAUUUUAAAAAAAAUCUAUCAUGGAUUAAAAAAAAAAUCACAAAUUUUCAAAAAAUUCUAUCAUGGAUUACAAAAAAAAAUUCGAUCAUGGAUUAAACAAAAAAAAUCACAAAUUUUCAAAAAAUUCAAUCAUGGAUUACAUAAAAUUCGAUCAUGGAUUACAUAAAAUUCGAUCAUGGAUUACAUAAAAUUCGAUCAUGGAUUACAAAAAAAAACAAACAAAAAAAACAAA
RNAcentral lists this long non-coding RNA (244 nucleotides) under Amborella trichopoda. RNAcentral describes it as "long non-coding RNA (ATRI_LNC002036)". Lineage: Eukaryota; Viridiplantae; Streptophyta; Magnoliopsida; Amborellales; Amborellaceae. The record is from RNAcentral.